Myotis daubentonii (Daubenton's bat) is the source of this 103-nucleotide small nuclear RNA. The record is from RefSeq and is a predicted model, not a curated record. NCBI's taxonomy places the organism in Eukaryota, Metazoa, Chordata, Mammalia, Chiroptera, Vespertilionidae.
ACACUUCAGCAGCCCAUAUACUAAAAUUGAAAUGAUACAGAGAAGAUUAGCAUAGCCUGUGCACAAGAAUGACAUGCAAAUUCGUGAAGAGUUCCAUAUGUAA